Molecule: unclassified non-coding RNA, 1351 nt
Filed under: Hevea brasiliensis (rubber tree)
Lineage: Eukaryota; Viridiplantae; Streptophyta; Magnoliopsida; Malpighiales; Euphorbiaceae
Source: RNAcentral
AAAAGCAACUCUUUGGUUCUUAAAGUAUCUUAUAUAAAGCCAAGUCAUCGUUGCAAAGAAAAGAGUGACUCAUAUGCAAGUUCUUUAAACAAUGAAUGCUAACUUGCAUUGCAUUUCAGUCCUAGUUAUGGUGACAUUUUUGUCGAUAUCUUUCGUUGGAUGCCUCAAGAAUGAUAAGAAAUAUCACAGAAACAAGGUAGAAGAGUGUGAUAUCUUCGCAGGAGAAUGGGUUUUGGAUAACAAGACUCAUCCUUUAUACAAAGAAGAUGCAUGUGAGUUUCUGUCACAGUGGUCUGCCUGCCUGAAGAAUGGAAGGCCUGACUCUAUGUAUCUGAAUUGGAGAUGGCAACCCAGAGAGUGUUCUUUGCCCAAGUUUAAGGCAAAACAUUUGCUGAAGAAACUCAAGGGAAAGAAGCUUAUGUUUGUUGGAGACUCUAUACAUAAUAACCAGUGGCAAUCUUUGGUUUGCUUGGUAGAAUCAGCUGUCUCACCAAGCCAGAAGAGCGUGGACGACUCAGGCUACCCACAAGUCUUCAGAAUUAAGAAAUAUAAUGUUACAAUAGAAUUUUACUGGGCACCAUAUCUAGUUGAAUCAAGUGUAGACCCUCCAAAGUUUAGGGAUGGCAAAACAACUGCUGUAAUAAUGGCUGAAUCAAUUGCAAAGCAUGGAAAUAACUGGAAAGAUGCAGAUUAUCUAAUCUUCGACUCAUAUGCUUGGUGGAUCAAGCAUCCCACAGUCAGAGUAUUGCAAGGAUCGUUUGAAGAAGGAGACACAAAGUAUGUUGAGAUCGAAAGGCAUAUAAUAUUUGAGAAAGUUUUAAGGACAUGGGCCAAUUGGGUGGAGGAAAACAUUGAUCAUAAACGCACUUCUAUUUUCUUUAGCAGUGCAUCACCGCAACAUUACAGGAGCUUGGACUGGAACAACCCAAAUGGAGUUAACUGUGCAAGCGAGACUACACCAAUUCUGAGCACAUCAAUGCCAAUAAAUGUGGGCACAGACAGGCAAAUAUUCUCAAUUGCAGCAGAUGUGAUUAGAUCAAUGAAAGUAAAAGUCCAUUUCCUCAAUAUAACAAGCCUCUCAGAGUACAGGAAAGAAGCACAUCCUUCUGUUUACAUUAUUCAAGAUGGUAAACUUCUUACACCGAAGCAGAAAUCUAAUCCAGCCAAGUAUGCAGAUUGUGUUCAUUGGUGUGUCCCAGGGCUUCCUGAUACGUGGAAUGAAUUGCUCUAUGCGUACAUUGUAACACAUUCUUGACUUCACUCGUAAAUUCAAUCAUAUGUGUAGCUUCACAACAGAAGCUUUCUGUUGAGAAGCUUUCGGUCAAGAAAUGAUUAUACAGGUGAACUGAGA